RNAcentral lists this unclassified non-coding RNA (797 nucleotides) under Hevea brasiliensis (rubber tree). Lineage: Eukaryota; Viridiplantae; Streptophyta; Magnoliopsida; Malpighiales; Euphorbiaceae. The record is from RNAcentral.
CCAGCAGCAAAAUCAAAAUCAUUUGUUUGAGGAACCUUGUGUUUUUGAGCUUUAUCUUCUUGCUGGCUAGGUUGGUCAUCUAUUGCGCCAUCUGUUCCUUCAGAGAGCUUGAAAGAAUUGACAUCACCAACUGACAGGGUUUCUUCUGAUGAUGCCUUAGUUUUAUCACGGCUUGCAUCUUCCAUUGCAUAAUUAGGUCCUGGUUUAAACCUCCUGUGAUCCAUACAUCUGCGCCUUAGAGUAGAAUUCCAGUGAUUCUUGAUUGCAUUAUCUGUUCUACCAGACAGAAGCCUUGCAAUUGCUGCCCAUUUGUUUCCAUGGAUGGCAUGGGCUGAAAUUAUAAUACGAUCCUCCUCAUCUGUGAAAGGCUUUCGCUUGAGGCAAGGGUCUAGCUGGUUACACCAUCUAAGCCUACAAGAUUUCCCAGAACGACCAGGAAUUCCCCGGGCGAUCAAGCUCCAAUUCCUAGCACCAAACUUACUCACCAGCUGAGUCAAAAUCGCGUCUUCAUCAGGCGACCAAGGUCCCUUAACUCUACUACUCACAACACCACCACCACCACUACUACCACCGCCUCCGGACCCACCAGCACCACCCCCAAGUUCCACCGACUGAGCAGCACCCCCGACUUCCGAGUCAUCCGCGGUUGGCGAACCGGAAAAAGGGGUCUUGCUGUCGUCCUCCUUUAUCAUUGUAUCACCCUCAGUUGGGUUUUGCAUUUUCCUUUGUGUGUUUCUAUGUACCUACCUGCCUAACAGCAACUGGCCACACUAGGAACGAGGAAGUUUUUUUUUUUU